GAUGAACGCUGGCGGCGUGCCUAAUACAUGCAAGUCGAGCGAACAGACGAGAAGCUUGCUCCUCUGAUGUUAGCGGCGGACGGGUGAGUAACACGUGGAUAACCUACCUAUAAGACUGGGAUAACUUCGGGAAACCGGAGCUAAUACCGGAUAAUAUUUUGAACCGCAUGGUUCAAUAGUGAAAGACGGUCUUGCUGUCACUUAUAGAUGGAUCCGCGCUGCAUUAGCUAGUUGGUAAGGUAACGGCUUACCAAGGCAACGAUGCAUAGCCGACCUGAGAGGGUGAUCGGCCACACUGGAACUGAGACACGGUCCAGACUCCUACGGGAGGCAGCAGUAGGGAAUCUUCCGCAAUGGGCGAAAGCCUGACGGAGCAACGCCGCGUGAGUGAUGAAGGUCUUCGGAUCGUAAAACUCUGUUAUUAGGGAAGAACAAAUGUGUAAGUAACUGUGCACAUCUUGACGGUACCUAAUCAGAAAGCCACGGCUAACUACGUG
Molecule: ribosomal RNA, 497 nt
Filed under: uncultured bacterium
Lineage: Bacteria
Description: partial 16S ribosomal RNA
Rfam family: Bacterial small subunit ribosomal RNA
Source: RNAcentral